CCCAAGGCAGAGGGUGGAGGGGCAGGGAGGACAAUCUAGAGCAAGUGACAUCUCAAGUGGCCUGAACGAUGGCAGGAGCCAGCUAAAUCAAGGGACACUAAAAGGAGAAAGUGUCACACCUUCAAGAAACUAAAAACCACUCAAUGAAAGGGAAGGAUGAGCUGUGUGAGGUCGGAGCGGCAAGGCAAGCAGAGGCUGGAUCCAACUGGCUUGACUCUGGACCUUAAGACACAGGCCUCAGCACCUGCUGUUCCUGUGCCACUGUGCAAAUAGGAAGCCUUCCAGGGCACCAGGCUGCCAAUGUCCUGAUGCAAAAGAUGGAACUGGGAUAAAGCUGAUCUUGGGAACCCUGGACCACCAUGUGAAAAAGCUAAACUUUGGGCUAGCCUAUUGGAGGGUUAGAGACCAAAUGGAAUAGAGAUAAGCUUCUCAACCAAGGCCUCCUAAAUCAAUCAUCCAGCCAAGCACCAGACAUAUUAGUGCCAUUACGUGAGGUCAUCUGGACCCCAGCCAAGCUGCCACU
Molecule: long non-coding RNA, 523 nt
Filed under: Homo sapiens (human)
Lineage: Eukaryota; Metazoa; Chordata; Mammalia; Primates; Hominidae
Description: HSALNT0359272
Source: RNAcentral